This 485-nucleotide ribosomal RNA is filed under the name uncultured Pseudomonadota bacterium. RNAcentral describes it as "bacterial SSU rRNA". It matches the Rfam family "Bacterial small subunit ribosomal RNA", at positions 355 to 858 of the family's 1533-position model. Lineage: Bacteria; Pseudomonadati; Pseudomonadota. The record is from RNAcentral.
UGGGGAAUCUUGCACAAUGGGCGAAAGCCUGAUGCAGCCAUGCCGCGUGAAUGAUGAAGGCCUUAGGGUUGUAAAAUUCUUUCGCUAGGGAUGAUAAUGACAGUACCUAGUAAAGAAGCCCCGGCUAACUUCGUGCCAGCAGCCGCGGUAAUACGAAGGGGGCUAGCGUUGUUCGGAAUUACUGGGCGUAAAGCGCACGUAGGCGGACUUUUAAGUCAGAUGUGAAAUCCCGGGGCUCAACCUCGGAACUGCAUUUGAAACUGGAAGUCUGGAGUUCAGGAGAGGUUAGCGGAAUACCGAGUGUAGAGGUGAAAUUCGUAGAUAUUCGGUGGAACACCAGUGGCGAAGGCGGCUAACUGGACUGAUACUGACGCUGAGGUGCGAAAGUGUGGGGAGCAAACAGGAUUAGAUACCCUGGUAGUCCACACCGUAAACGAUGAGAGCUAGUUGUUGGCAGGCAUGCCUGUCGGUGACGCAGCUAACGC